GGGCCUCUAGCUCAGUUGGUAGAGCAGCGGACUUUUAAUCCGCGGGUCGUGGGUUCGAUCCCCACGGGGCUCA
This 73-nucleotide transfer RNA is filed under the name Corynebacterium atypicum. Its description in RNAcentral is "tRNA-Lys (TTT) (tRNA-Lys-TTT-1-1)". It matches the Rfam family "tRNA". Rfam says of the family: Transfer RNA (tRNA) molecules are approximately 80 nucleotides in length. The record is from RNAcentral. Lineage: Bacteria; Bacillati; Actinomycetota; Actinomycetes; Mycobacteriales; Corynebacteriaceae.